AUAGGUUCGCCAUCACAACUGUAGAGGGCUUGGACUUCUCGCUUACUCCAGAGACUAAGACCAGAACUCAUGGUGGUGAAACCUCAAGGAUGGAGAUACGGGUGAGACAUGAAGAAGAACAAUAAGAACUGUCAACCAACUUACCACAUGGAAUGGUUUCUUCAUCUUCACAAAGGUUUUUAAACACAGCUUGGAUAGACCUCUACUGGGGAUAGUGCAGUGAAUCUGGCAGUGAGCAGGGUGUUGGACUUGGUGAUCCCUUGGGUCCUUUUGAUUCUAUGAUUCUGUGAUCGAUGCUAUGAUCCUAUGAUUGAUUCUAUGGUUGAGUCAAUGAUCCUAUGGUUAAGUCUAUGAUCCUACGGUUGAGUCUAUGAUUCUAUGGUUGAGUCUAUGACCCUAUGACUGAUUCUAUGCUGCUGUGAUUCCUUCUGUGAUUUAUUCUAUGAUUCUGUUAUUCAUUAUAUGGUUCCAUUAUUCCUUCUAGAUUCUACAGUCUUACUAGGAGCUUAAGGAAAGAUUUUUUUUUUCCAGCCAAGAAAGGCUUAUUUGUUCCAAGAUGUGGCAGCCUUUAACUCCAAUGAAUGUCCUUCAUUUCCUGGAACAGUUCCACCAGAGGUCAGACCUGCAGGCAAGAAAUGAAGGACUAAAGACCCCUCUAUGAAAAUGACGGACGGCUGCGGUGGCAUGAAAAGAGGGCUGUUUGAUCAUUCCUCUGCAGACCAGGAGAGACCUUUAGAUUACCCACAAGUGAUCUUUCAAGUCAAUAGACUUUUCGUCAUCAUCUUCUCAGCCCGAGAACUAGAGAUUUUUUCCCCUCACUGUAAAUUUCAGUGGGUCCUCUCUAACGAACUCUCCAUCGUCAACAUUUGGGGAUCCAUCAUCAAAUGCUGUUUAUCUAUCACUUCUAAACCGAUUCUUUGUAUCGAUUCUUGAAUUGAUUUUAAAAUUUCAUCUCCUUUUUUGUUUUUCCUUCUCCUCCCAAACACACAUGGAUUUAUAAAAUCUUAAAUAAAACAAUUAAUUUUCUGGAUGUAGCUGGACCAAUAAGGACACCUCAGAAAGUAUUCUGUGCAGACAAUAAGAAUCUUCUCCUGAA
Molecule: non-coding RNA, 1096 nt
Organism: Pantherophis guttatus
Lineage: Eukaryota; Metazoa; Chordata; Lepidosauria; Squamata; Colubridae
Source: RefSeq, a predicted model, not a curated record